GCCAAGCAGCCGCGGUAAUUCCAGCUCCAAUAGCGUAUAUUAAAGUUGUUGUGGUUAAAAAGCUCGUAGUUGGAUCUCAACAGCCUUGAAGCGGUUAACUUUGUAGUUUUACUGCUUUAUAGGCUGUGCUUUUGCUGGAGGUUUAGGGGUGCUCUUGAUCGAGUGUCUCUGGAUGCCAGCAGGUUUACUUUGAAAAAAUUAGAGUGCUCAAAGCAGGCUAAAAUGCCUGAAUAUUCGUGCAUGGAAUAAUAGAAUAGGAUGUCGAUCCUAUUUUGUUGGUUUUCGGGACUCGACAUAAUGAUAAAUAGGGACAGUCGGGGGCAUUUGUAUUCAAACGACAGAGGUGAAAUUCUUGGACCGUUUGAAGACAAACUACUGCGAAAGCAUUUGCCAAGAAUGUUUUCAUUAAUCAAGAACGAAAGUUAGAGGUUCGAAGGCGAUUAGAUACCGCCCUAGUUCUAACCAUAAACGAUGCCAGCUAGCGAUCUGCCUGCGUUUUUACUGUAGACUGGGCAGGAAGCUUCCGGGAAACCAAAGCAUUUGGGUUCCAGGGGAAGUAUGGUUGCAAAGCUGAAACUUAAAGGAAUUGACGGAAGGGCACCACCAGGAGUGGAGCCUGUGGCUUAAUUUGACUCAACACGGGAAAUCUCACCAGGCCCGGACACUGGAAGGAUUGACAGAUUGAUAGCUCUUUCUUGAUUCGGUGGGUGGUGGUGCAUGGCCGUUCUUAGUUGGUGGAGUGAUUUGUCUGGUUAAUUCCGAUAACGAACGAGACUCUGUCCUGCUAAAUAGUUUCUACUUCUCUUUUGAGUAGAAAUUUCUUCUUAGAGGGACUGGUGACUCUUAGUCACACGAGAUUGAGCAAUAACAGGUCUGUG
This 878-nucleotide ribosomal RNA is filed under the name uncultured eukaryote. RNAcentral's name for it is "SSU rRNA". It matches the Rfam family "Eukaryotic small subunit ribosomal RNA", at positions 566 to 1466 of the family's 1831-position model. The record is from RNAcentral.